UACGGAGGGUGCGAGCGUUAAUCGGAAUCACUGGGCGUAAAGCGCACGUAGGCUGUUAUGUAAGUCAGGGGUGAAAUCCCACCGCUUACCGGUGGAAUUGCCUUUGAUACUGUGUAACUUGAGUUCGUAAGAGGGUGGCGGAAUUCCAGGUGUAGGAGUGAAAUCCGUAGAGAUCUGGAGGAACAUCAGUGGCGAAGGCGGCCACCUGGUGCGACACUGACGCUGAGGUGCGAAAGCGUGGGGAGCAAACAGG
Molecule: ribosomal RNA, 253 nt
Filed under: uncultured bacterium
Lineage: Bacteria
Description: partial 16S ribosomal RNA
Rfam family: Bacterial small subunit ribosomal RNA
Source: RNAcentral